CAGUAGCCACGGUAAUACGGAGGGUGCAAGCGUUAAUCGGAAUUACUGGGCGUAAAGCGCACGCAGGCGGUUUGUUAAGUCAGAUGUGAAAUCCCCGAGCUUAACUUGGGAACUGCAUUUGAAACUGGCAAGCUAGAGUCUUGUAGAGGGGGGUAGAAUUCCAGGUGUAGCGGUGAAAUGCGUAGAGAUCUGGAGGAAUACCGGUGGCGAAGGCGGCCCCCUGGACAAAGACUGACGCUCAGGUACGAAAGCAUGGGGAGCAAACAGGAUUAGAUACCCGUGUAGUCCCUGUCUCUUAUAC
Molecule: ribosomal RNA, 301 nt
Filed under: uncultured bacterium
Lineage: Bacteria
Description: partial 16S ribosomal RNA
Rfam family: Bacterial small subunit ribosomal RNA
Source: RNAcentral